Molecule: ribosomal RNA, 406 nt
Filed under: uncultured bacterium
Lineage: Bacteria
Description: partial 16S ribosomal RNA
Rfam family: Bacterial small subunit ribosomal RNA
Source: RNAcentral
AUUGAACGCUGGCGGCAGGCCUAACACAUGCAAGUCGAACGAGUGGCGGACGGGUGAGUAAUGUCUGGGAAACUGCCUGAUGGAGGGGGAUAACAACUGGAAACGGUAGCUCAUACCGCAUACCCUCAGAUGUGCCCAGAUGGGAUUAGCUAGUAGGUGGGGUAACGCCUCACCUAGGCGACGAUCCCUAGCUGGUCUGAGAGGAUGACCAGCCACACUGGAACUGAGACACGGUCCAGACUCCUACGGGAGUCAGCAGUGGGGAAUAUUGCACAAUGGGCGCAAGCCUGAUGCAGCCAUGCCGCGUGUAUGAAGAAGGCCUUCGGGUUGUAAAGUACUUUCAGCGGGGAGGCGUUACCCGCAGAAGAAGCACCGGCUAACUCCGUGCCAGCAGCCGCGGUAAUUC